RNAcentral lists this ribosomal RNA (976 nucleotides) under Triticum aestivum (bread wheat). Its description in RNAcentral is "partial small subunit ribosomal RNA". The record is from RNAcentral. Lineage: Eukaryota; Viridiplantae; Streptophyta; Magnoliopsida; Poales; Poaceae.
UGUAUGUGUUCACCGUACAUGGCAACUGAGUUAAUGUAUUCAAACACAAACAAAAUUGCAUGCGCCCAAACGACAAUGCUUUUGCCCACAACCGCUACCCUUUUGUGCCGGACUGAACUUUUGUUCACAAGUAUGGUAGAAGUGUUAGUUUCCUUAUAGGAUGCAAAUCUGUACAACUCUCUCUUGAGGACAUCAAAUUCACAAGUGCACUUAUGAACAAGAAACUUGCCUUCUUUUGCCUCCAUAAUGGAUCAAAUAAGCAGUGAAGAAGCUUGUAUCAUCCAUCUGAAAAAUGCACUUGAGAUACAUCAGCAAGGAACUGCACAACACAUCUUUUGAAGGAAAAAGAAAUUCAAACCGAACACUCAACAUCUGGGAACUGCACGCGGGGAGGAGGGGCAGCUCGUCGGGGGGCAGAGAUCCACCGGUGCUGCGCCACACCGGCGAUUUUUGUGCACUGCGUCAGAAAGUAGGGGCUCGACGUGGGGAGGGAGGUCGGCCGUCACGGGGCACGGCCGUGACCAUCGAGGCCGGCAAUCGUGGGGGCAGCCCGGCUGGAUCCGGAUGCACUGGUGCGGGGGAGGCGGCUCAUCCGCUCGUCGGUGCGGAUUCGGCGCCCGACGGAUCGGGCCGAGGCGGCGCGAUGGAUGGGGUGGGGCGCAUGGCGGGGCAGUAGCCAUGGCUGGAGCGGGGCUGGGCCGGGCCAUCGCUAGGCGACGCUGUAGAUCAGAGGCGCGCGGGGGAGAUGCGGGGUGGCGCCGGACGGGGGGAGUAGAAGGCGACGCAGCUCUGGACGGGAGGAGGACGAGGCGAGGCGCCGCCGGAUGGGAGGAGUAGGAGGCGGGCGGCUCUAGGCAGGUGGAGGAGGAGGCGGGGAGACGCCGGGCGGGUGGAGGAGGAUGUGGGGCAGCGCCGGACGAGAGGUGUAGGAGGCGGGGCGGCUUUUGACGAAAGGAGGAGGAGGUGGGGAGACGCC